GUUGUGGCUCAGUGGUAGAGCUCUUGCCUAGCAUGUGCAAAGCCCUAGGUUUGAUCCUCAGCAUGACA
RNAcentral lists this transfer RNA (68 nucleotides) under Marmota monax (woodchuck). Its description in RNAcentral is "tRNA.Ala". Lineage: Eukaryota; Metazoa; Chordata; Mammalia; Rodentia; Sciuridae. The record is from RNAcentral.